UACGUAGGGUGCGAGCGUUGUCCGGAAUUACUGGGCGUAAAGAGCUCGUAGGUGGUUUGUCGCGUUGUUCGUGAAAACUCACAACUCAAUUGUGGGCGUGCGGGCGAUACGGGCAGACUGGAGUACUGCAGGGGAGACUGGAAUUCCUGGUGUGGCGGUGGAAUGCGCAGAUAUCGGGAAGAACACCCGUGGCGAAGGCGGCUCUCUGGGACGGUACUGACGCUGAGACGCGAAAGCGUGGGGAGCGAACAGG
RNAcentral lists this ribosomal RNA (253 nucleotides) under uncultured bacterium. RNAcentral describes it as "partial 16S ribosomal RNA". It matches the Rfam family "Bacterial small subunit ribosomal RNA", at positions 524 to 776 of the family's 1533-position model. The record is from RNAcentral.